GUGGGGGAUAUUGGACAAUGGGGGGAACCCUGAUCCAGCGACGCCGCGUGAGUGAAGAAGUAUUUCGGUAUGUAAAGCUCUAUCAGCAGGGAAGAAAAUGACGGUACCUGAGUAAGAAGCCCCGGCUAACUACGUGCCAGCAGCCGCGGUAAUACGUAGGGGGCAAGCGUUAUCCGGAUUUACUGGGUGUAAAGGGAGCGUAGACGGCCAUGCAAGUCUGAAGUGAAAGGCGGGGGCUUAACCCCCGGACUGCUUUGGAAACUGCAGGGCUGGAGUGCAGGAGAGGUAAGUGGAAUUCCUAGUGUAGCGGUGAAAUGCGUAGAUAUUAGGAGGAACACCAGUGGCGAAGGCGGCUUACUGGACUGUAACUGACGUUGAGGCUCGAAAGCGUGGGGAGCAAACAGGA
Molecule: ribosomal RNA, 406 nt
Filed under: uncultured bacterium
Lineage: Bacteria
Description: bacterial SSU rRNA
Rfam family: Bacterial small subunit ribosomal RNA
Source: RNAcentral